UCCCUGGAGGACUAGCGGUUAGGCCUUGGUGCGCUCACCGCCAUGGCCUGGGUUCGAUUCCUGGCCUGGGAA
Molecule: non-coding RNA, 72 nt
Organism: Pangasius djambal
Lineage: Eukaryota; Metazoa; Chordata; Actinopteri; Siluriformes; Pangasiidae
Source: the annotation of a GenBank genome assembly